GACGAACGCUGGCGGCGUGCUUAACACAUGCAAGUCGUACGGUAAGGCCCUUUCGGGGGUACACGAGUGGCGAACGGGUGAGUAACACGUGAGUAACCUGCCCACAACUUUGGGAUAACGCUAGGAAACUGGUGCUAAUACUGGAUAUGUGCCCCUGCUGCAUGGUGGGGGUUGGAAAGCUCCGGCGGUUGUGGAUGGACUCGCGGCCUAUCAGCUUGUUGGUGGGGUAGUGGCCUACCAAGGCGGCGACGGGUAGCCGGCCUGAGAGGGUGACCGGCCACAUUGGGACUGAGAUACGGCCCAGACUCCUACGGGAGGCAGCAGUGGGGAAUAUUGCACAAUGGGCGCAAGCCGGAUGCAGCAACGCCGCGUGCGGGAUGACGGCCUUCGGGUUGUAAACCGCUUUCAGCAGGGACGAAGCUUUUUGUGACGGUACCUGCAGAAGAAGCACCGGCUAACUACGUG
Molecule: ribosomal RNA, 465 nt
Filed under: uncultured bacterium
Lineage: Bacteria
Description: partial 16S ribosomal RNA
Rfam family: Bacterial small subunit ribosomal RNA
Source: RNAcentral